This 621-nucleotide small RNA is filed under the name Pan troglodytes (chimpanzee). RNAcentral describes it as "processed transcript". The record is from RNAcentral. Lineage: Eukaryota; Metazoa; Chordata; Mammalia; Primates; Hominidae.
AGUCAGGGUCAAGUGGUGUUAGCAAUCACACCAGCAACAAAUGGCUCAGGAUGCUCUGGUUUCAAAGCUUAUAAAACAGAGGGUGAUUCCCUUGGGACUCACUCAGCUCGGCUCCGAAAAGCAAAGGCCAGAAGGCAGCAGUGAGCCUGGGUCCCUGCUGUGUAGGGAGACUCAGGGGCUGGGAAGAAAGGUGGAAUCAGAAAUGCUGAAGGUUUACGUGAGCUUUGCACCGAGCACCUGCGAACCACUGCCUCUGGGCUCAACAGAACACAGGGGUCCUGAAGAAUGAAGGGUACCAAGGUGGAAGGGGUGCAGGAUUAAGAGUAGGGACGCCUGCAAAAGCUCUCGUGUUACCACCUCAUCUUCCAACUUUCAUAUGGGUGAAAACGUUCAUUCAAUUGCUUCUAAUUCUGAAGUUUUGUGAUUCCUUGAAAUGUACUUUGGGGAUGACAGCCAGCAUUUCCAUUUCACUGCAAUUUCAGAGUUUUGCAGUGGUUUGCCAAUCAUAACACUUUCUAAUUGGCACAAAAUCCACCUACCUGUUGCCUCUCAGGCUUGGGUAACAUACUUCAGACACUUUCUUAGGUAAGUCUUGGCCCUUGGGGUGUUAUUUGCCCAGAU